GAUGAACGCUGGCGGCGUGCCUAAUACAUGCAAGUCGAGCGGACAGAUGAGGAGUUUGCUCCUCUGUCGUUAGGGGCGCACGGGUGUGUAACACGUGGAUAACGUACUUAUCAUCCUGGGAUAACUUCGGGAAACCGGAGCUUAUAGCGGAGAAUAUAUUGAAGCGUGGGGUUCAAUAGUGAAAGACGGUUUUGCUGUAACUUAUAGAUGGAUCCGCGCUGGAUUAGCUAGUUGGUAAGGUAACGGCUUACCAAGGCAACGAUGCGUAGGCGACCUGAGAGGGUGGUCGGCCACACUGGAACUGGGACGCGGACCAGACUCCUACGAGAGGCAGCAGUAGGGAAUGGUCCGCAAUGGGCGAGAGCUUGACGGAGCGACGCCGAGUGAGUGAUGAAGGUCUUCGGAUCGUAAAACUCUGUUAUUAGGGAAGAACAAAUGUGUAAGUAAAUAUGCACGUCUUGACGGUACCUAAUCAGAAGGCCACGGCUAACUACGUG
RNAcentral lists this ribosomal RNA (497 nucleotides) under uncultured bacterium. Its description in RNAcentral is "partial 16S ribosomal RNA". It matches the Rfam family "Bacterial small subunit ribosomal RNA", at positions 28 to 507 of the family's 1533-position model. The record is from RNAcentral.